Molecule: long non-coding RNA, 470 nt
Filed under: Triticum aestivum (bread wheat)
Lineage: Eukaryota; Viridiplantae; Streptophyta; Magnoliopsida; Poales; Poaceae
Description: long non-coding RNA (TAES_LNC005824)
Source: RNAcentral
CGCAUUAAUAUUUUACACCCAGUAUCGAAUUCACCAUCCUUUCCUUACAAUUUUCCAGUAUGUAUGCUAGUACAUGAGAAGAAGAAAAAAAAGAGCAACUAACGAACGAGCUCACCGGCUAACGAAUGAGGGGGUAGAAAUUCUGCAGUGGACAAAGCAAACAACACCAGCGAGGAGCCAUCAUCCCUCUUUGAUUCUUCGGAGCCGGAUGCAAAAGCAAAUUCUUCACGCCCCUAACACUUGGUUCGCCAUUUUAUGCAAAGCAACACCCAAACAAGUCCUGCAGGUCGCUCGCUCAAUCACGGCGCUCCGACCAUACUUCUCUUAGGAGCUCGUAUCUUACAUUUGCCACGGCGCCUUCUUGUCGAGCACUGAAAUGCGCGACUCCGUUACAAGGCGACGGCGGAGAGCUCCGGUCGUAGAGGGACAUCAAGGGGGAGCCUAGGUCGUCCAGGUCGUCGUCACUGGUG